This 253-nucleotide ribosomal RNA is filed under the name uncultured bacterium. RNAcentral describes it as "partial 16S ribosomal RNA". It matches the Rfam family "Bacterial small subunit ribosomal RNA", at positions 524 to 776 of the family's 1533-position model. The record is from RNAcentral.
UACGUAGGGUGCAAGCGUUGUUCGGAAUCACUGGGCGUAAAGGGUGCGUAGGCGGAUCAAUCAGUCAGGGGUGAAAUCCCGAGGCUCAACCUCGGAACUGCCUUUGAUACUGUUGAUCUUGAGUCCGGAAGAGGUGAGUGGAACUGCGAGUGUAGAGGUGAAAUUCGUAGAUAUUCGCAAGAACACCGGUGGCGAAGGCGGCUCACUGGUCCGGAACUGACGCUGAGGCACGACAGCGUGGGGAGCAAACAGG